RNAcentral lists this transfer RNA (82 nucleotides) under Flammulina velutipes KACC42780. Its description in RNAcentral is "tRNA-Leu (TAA) (tRNA-Leu-TAA-1-1)". It matches the Rfam family "tRNA". From Rfam's summary of the family: Transfer RNA (tRNA) molecules are approximately 80 nucleotides in length. Their secondary structure includes four short double-helical elements and three loops (D, anti-codon, and T loops). Further hydrogen bonds mediate the characteristic L-shaped molecular structure. tRNAs have two regions of fundamental functional importance: the anti-codon, which is responsible for specific mRNA codon recognition, and the 3' end, to which the tRNAs corresponding amino acid is attached (by aminoacyl-tRNA synthetases). tRNAs cope with the degeneracy of the genetic code in two manners: having more than one tRNA (with a specific anti-codon) for a particular amino acid; and 'wobble' base-pairing, i.e. permitting non-standard base-pairing at the 3rd anti-codon position. The record is from RNAcentral. Lineage: Eukaryota; Fungi; Basidiomycota; Agaricomycetes; Agaricales; Physalacriaceae.
GGUGGCGUGGCCGAGUGGUUAAGGCGUUGGAUUUAAGCUCCCAAUGACGGAAGUCGCGCGAGUUCGAACCUCGCCGCCACCA